RNAcentral lists this unclassified non-coding RNA (229 nucleotides) under plant metagenome. RNAcentral's name for it is "partial contains small subunit ribosomal RNA, internal transcribed spacer 1, and 5.8S ribosomal RNA". The record is from RNAcentral.
UCUCCGUAGGUGAACCUGCGGAGGGAUCAUUACAGAGUUCUCGCCCUCGCGGGUAGAUCUCCCACCCACUGUUAUCGUUACUGUGUUGCUUUGGCGGGCCGCCGGGCCUCGCUCGGCCGCCGGCUCCGGCUGGCGCGCGCCCGCCAGAGGCCCAGCAAACUCUGAAUGUUAGUGUCGUCUGAGUACUAUAUAAUAGUUAAAACUUUCAACAACGGAUCUCUUGGUUCUG